AACCUGCCCCAGGCUUUGGGAUAACCCUCGGAAACGGGGGCUAAUACCGAAUAUGACUUGGCCUCGCAUGAGGUUGGGUGGAAAGUUUUUCGGCUUGGGAUGGGCUCGCGGCCUAUCAGCUUGUUGGUGGGGUAAUGGCCUACCAAGGCGACGACGGGUAGCCGGCCUGAGAGGGCGACCGGCCACACUGGGACUGAGACACGGCCCAGACUCCUACGGGAGGCAGCAGUGGGGAAUAUUGCACAAUGGGCGGAAGCCUGAUGCAGCGACGCCGCGUGAGGGAUGACGGCCUUCGGGUUGUAAACCUCUUUCAGCAGGGACGAAGCGAGAGUGACGGUACCUGCAGAAGAAGCACCGGCCAACUACGUGCCAGCAGCCGCGGUAAGACGUAGGGUGCGAGCGUUGUCCGGAUUUAUUGGGCGUAAAGAGCUCGUAGGCGGCUUGUCGCGUCGACCGUGAAAACUUGGGGCUCAACCCCAAGCCUGCGGUCGAUACGGGCAGGCUAGAGUUCGGUAGGGGAGACUGGAAUUCCUGGUGUAGCGGUGAAAUGCGCAGAUAUCAGGAGGAACACCGGUGGCGAAGGCGGGUCUCUGGGCCGAUACUGACGCUGAGGAGCGAAAGCGUGGGGAGCGAACAGGAUUAGAUACCCUGGUAGUCCACGCUGUAAACGUUGGGCGCUAGGUGUGGGGGGCCUCUCCGGUUCCCUGUGCCGCAGAUAACGCACUAAGCGCCCCCCCCGGGGAGUACGGCCCCAAGGCUAAAACUCAAAGGAAUUGACGGGGGCCCCCACAAGCGGCGGAGCAUGCGGAUUAAUUUGAUGCAACGCGAAGAACCCUUCCCGGGUUUGACACGGCCGCAAAACUCGCAGAGAUGUGAGGUCUCUUUGGGGCGGUCACAGGUGGGGCAUGGCUGUCUUCAGCUCGUGUCUUGAGAUAUUGGGUUAAGUCCCGCACCGAGCGCACCCCUCCUUUGAUGUUGCCAGCGCGCUAUGGCGGGGGGUCAUCGAAGACUGCCGGGGUCAACUCGGAGGAAGGUGGGGAGGACGUCAAGUCAUCAUGCCCCCUAUGUCCACGGGUUCACGCAUGCUACAAUGGCCGGUACAAUGGGGUGCGAUACCGUGAGGUGGAGCGAAUCCCAAAAAACCGGUCUCAGUUCGGAUCGGGGUCUGCAACUCGACCCCGUGAAGUCGGAGUCGCUAGUAAUCGCAGAUCAGCAACGCUGCGGUGAAUACGUUCCCGGG
This 1240-nucleotide ribosomal RNA is filed under the name Micromonospora sp. RNAcentral describes it as "bacterial SSU rRNA". It matches the Rfam family "Bacterial small subunit ribosomal RNA", at positions 123 to 1378 of the family's 1533-position model. Lineage: Bacteria; Bacillati; Actinomycetota; Actinomycetes; Micromonosporales; Micromonosporaceae. The record is from RNAcentral.